RNAcentral lists this unclassified non-coding RNA (352 nucleotides) under soil metagenome. RNAcentral's name for it is "partial contains 5.8S ribosomal RNA, internal transcribed spacer 2, and large subunit ribosomal RNA". The stretch from base 1 to 120 matches the Rfam family "5.8S ribosomal RNA", at positions 35 to 154 of the family's 154-position model. The record is from RNAcentral.
GAUGAAGAACGCAGCGAAAUGCGAUAAGUAAUGUGAAUUGCAGAAUUCAGUGAAUCAUCGAAUCUUUGAACGCACAUUGCGCCCGCCAGUAUUCUGGCGGGCAUGCCUGUUCGAGCGUCAUUACAACCCUCAGGCCCCCGGUCCUGGCGUUGGGGAUCGGCGGAAGCCCCCUGUGGGCACACGCCGUCCCUCAAAUACAGUGGCGGUCCCGCCGCAGCUUCCAUUGCGUAGUAGCUAACACCUCGCAACUGGAGAGCGGCGCGGCCAUGCCGUAAAACACCCAACUUCUGAAUGUUGACCUCGAAUCAGGUAGGAAUACCCGCUGAACUUAAGCAUAUCAAUAAGCGGAGGA